Molecule: ribosomal RNA, 491 nt
Filed under: uncultured bacterium
Lineage: Bacteria
Description: partial 16S ribosomal RNA
Rfam family: Bacterial small subunit ribosomal RNA
Source: RNAcentral
AGUGAACGCUGGCGGUAGGCCUAACACAUGCAAGUCGAACGGCAGCACAGUAAGAGCUUGCUCUUACGGGUGGCGAGUGGCGGACGGGUGAGGAAUACAUCGGAAUCUACUUUUUCGUGGGGGAUAACGUAGGGAAACUUACGCUAAUACCGCAUACGACCUACGGGUGAAAGCAGGGGAUCUUCGGACCUUGCGCGAUUGAAUGAGCCGAUGUCGGAUUAGCUAGUUGGCGGGGUAAAGGCCCACCAAGGCGACGAUCCGUAGCUGGUCUGAGAGGAUGAUCAGCCACACUGGAGCUGAGACACGGUCCAGACUCCUACGGGAGGCAGCAGUGGGGAAUAUUGGACAAUGGGCGCAAGCCUGAUCCAGCCAUACCGCGUAGGUGAAGAAGGCCUUCGGGUUGUAAAGCCCUUUUGUUGGGAAAGAAAAGCAGCAGGUUAAUACCCCGCUGUUCGGACGGUACCCAAAGAAUAAGCACCGGCUAACUUCGU